Molecule: ribosomal RNA, 253 nt
Filed under: uncultured bacterium
Lineage: Bacteria
Description: partial 16S ribosomal RNA
Rfam family: Bacterial small subunit ribosomal RNA
Source: RNAcentral
UACGAAGGGGGCGAGCGUUGUUCGGAUUUACUGGGCGUAAAGGGCGCGUAGGCGGCCAUCUUUGUCAGGCGUGAAAGCCCCGGGCUCAACCUGGGAACUGCGUCUGGGACGGGGUGGCUAGAGAUCGGGAGAGGAGCGUGGAAUUCCCAGUGUAGAGGUGAAAUGUGUAGAUAUUCGGAAGAACACCAGUGGCGAAGGCAGCGAACUGGCGCUUUAUCGACGCUCAUGCACGAAAGCAUGGGGAUCAAACAGG